GCGGGGGUCUCCCGGCGCGGCGCGGCCCCUGCGUGCCGGAGGAGCCGCCGGAGGAGCCGCGUUCCCGCCGGGAGCCGCGCGCCGUCCGCCGCCGGGAGCGACGCCAGCCCGGGAGCGCGCCCAGCAAGGGGCGCUGAGGAACACUUGUAGCUUCGGAGUGUGCCUGCGGUUUCAUCAAGUGGUGUUCCUAGUAUAUUGCUCCUGGACCUUGGUACGAUGAAGGAGAGUUGUAUCACUCCUAAGAUACAGGUUCCUUCCCACUUUCAAGGUAUCCUACUGUGUCCACAUCUCACUUCUAUUACUCUUUGUUGUUCUUGCAGUGUUCUCAAAGCCACUAAUCAUUCCGUGUGAUAUGGUGUCCUGGUGUUGGAAUCAUUUUCCAGUCUUUAUUGGGUAUCGGUCCUUUUACCCGUGAACCAUGAGUCCAACCUCUUUCUGCCAUUUGAACUGUGGUUUCUGUGGUUAAAAGAACAAGAAAUGGUCCUUCCCACCAAGGUUCUAAACCUUCUCCAAUCCAGCAUUUUAUCAACAUGUACUGUCCUGGUCAAACAGAAUGUAUCGAAAAAUCAAUGGGAGUUGUCUGAGCUAAAAUGCCUCUCUCUUAGCUCCCUCAAAUUUUUUGCGAUAGUUGUAAUAUACCCCUGGGUGGUUUUGUCCCCGAUUAGUGAGGGAUCCAUUAUCAUCCCUUGAGGGUAAGGCAGUCUAUAUAACAUCUCAUAUGGUGAGAUCCUAGUUUCAGAGUGGGGCUUGGUUCUAAUAUCUAACAGGGCUAAGGGAAGGCAUCUGGUCCAAGGCAAUUUGGUUUCUAUCAUUAACUUAGUUGCUGUUUAAUAGUUUGAUUCAUCCUUUCAGCUCGUCCUGAGCUUUCAGGAUGCCAUGAGCUAUGAUAUCCCAAGAAAUUCCUAAUGUUUGACUUAAAUUUUUAAUUAUUCCUGAGGUAAAAUUAGUACCCUGAUCCGAAUCAAUAGCCUGCACUAAUCUGAAUCUUGGAAUAAUAAGCUCCAACAAAAUCUUGGCUACUGUUUGAGCUGUAGCCUGAGCAGCAGGGUAUGCUACUACUCACUGAGUCAUUUGAUCUACUAUAACUAAUAGAUAUUUCCACUGGCCCACUCUCGGUAAUUUGGUAAAAUCAACUUGGAUCUUUUCAAACAGCCUGUAGACUGUCCAGUGGCUUCCAGAGGGAGGACUACUCAACACCUUUUUGUUCACUUUUUGAGAAGUGAGACAUCCCUCA
Passer montanus (Eurasian tree sparrow) is the source of this 1234-nucleotide long non-coding RNA. RefSeq lists it as uncharacterized. NCBI's taxonomy places the organism in Eukaryota, Metazoa, Chordata, Aves, Passeriformes, Passeridae. The record is from RefSeq and is a predicted model, not a curated record. The transcript has 4 exons.